CAUGCAGUCGAACGGUAACAGGAAGCAGCUUGCUUCUUUGCUGACGAGUGGCGGACGGGUGAGUAAUGUCUGGGAAACUGCCUGAUGGAGGGGGAUAACUACUGGAAACGGUAGCUAAUACCGCAUAACGUCGCAAGACCAAAGAGGGGGACCUUCGGGCCUCUUGCCAUCGGAUGUGCCCAGAUGGGAUUAGCUAGUAGGUGGGGUAACGGCUCACCUAGGCGACGAUCCCUAGCUGGUCUGAGAGGAUGACCAGCCACACUGGAACUGAGACACGGUCCAGACUCCUACGGGAGGCAGCAGUGGGGAAUAUUGCACAAUGGGCGCAAGCCUGAUGCAGCCAUGCCGCGUGUAUGAAGAAGGCCUUCGGGUUGUAAAGUACUUUCAGCGGGGAGGAAGGGAGUAAAGUUAAUACCUUUGCUCAUUGACGUUACCCGCAGAAGAAGCACCGGCUAACUCCGUGCCAGCAGCCGCGGUAAUACGGAGGGUGCAAGCGUUAAUCGGAAUUACUGGGCGUAAAGCGCACGCAGGCGGUUUGUUAAGUCAGAUGUGAAAUCCCCGGGCUCAACCUGGGAACUGCAUCUGAUACUGGCAAGCUUGAGUCUCGUAGAGGGGGGUAGAAUUCCAGGUGUAGCGGUGAAAUGCGUAGAGAUCUGGAGGAAUACCGGUGGCGAAGGCGGCCCCCUGGACGAAGACUGACGCUCAGGUGCGAAAGCGUGGGGGAGCAAACAGGAUUAGAUACCCUGGUAGUCCACGCCGUAAACGAUGUCGACUUGGAGGUUGUGCCCUUGAGGCGUGGCUUCCGGAGCUAACGCGUUAAGUCGACCGCCUGGGGAGUACGGCCGCAAGGUUAAAACUCAAAUGAAUUGGCGGGGGCCCGCACAAGCGGUGGAGCAUGUGGUUUAAUUCGAUGCAACGCGAAGAACCUUACCUGGUCUUGACAUCCACGGAAGUUUUCAGAGAUGAGAAUGUGCCUUCGGGAACCGUGAGACAGGUGCUGCAUGGCUGUCGUCAGCUCGUGUUGUGAAAUGUUGGGUUAAGUCCCGCAACGAGCGCAACCCUUAUCCUUUGUUGCCAGCGGUCCGGCCGGGAACUCAAAGGAGACUGCCAGUGAUAAACUGGAGGAAGGUGGGGAUGACGUCAAGUCAUCAUGGCCCUUACGACCAGGGCUACACACGUGCUACAAUGGCGCAUACAAAGAGAAGCGACCUCGCGAGAGCAAGCGGACCUCAUAAAGUGCGUCGUAGUCCGGAUUGGAGUCUGCAACUCGACUCCAUGAAGUCGGAAUCGCUAGUAAUCGUGGAUCAGAAUGCCACGGUGAAUACGUUCCCGGGCCUUGUACACACCGCCCGUCACACCAUGGGAGUGGGUUGCAAAAGAAGUAGGUAGCUUAACCUUCGGGAGGGCGCUUAC
RNAcentral lists this ribosomal RNA (1413 nucleotides) under Escherichia fergusonii. Its description in RNAcentral is "bacterial SSU rRNA". It matches the Rfam family "Bacterial small subunit ribosomal RNA". The record is from RNAcentral. Lineage: Bacteria; Pseudomonadati; Pseudomonadota; Gammaproteobacteria; Enterobacterales; Enterobacteriaceae.